AGGGGGGGGGGGGAGAUGGGAGAGUGUUGCGGGAGCGAGGGGUCGCCGCGGACGAGGGCGCCGGCGCCGGAGCACGCGGCGGGGUCGGUGGAUCGCAGGUUCUUGAAGCAGGUGUUCGACAACGUCCACGGCAGCAUAUCGCUCGAUCCGCUCAGUUUGAAGUUCAUCGACACUGAACAGUUCCAAAGGUUGCGGGAUUUGAAGCAACUUGGUCUUACAUACAUGGUCUAUCCAGGAGCAGUGCACACUCGUUUUGAACAUUCAUUAGGGGUUUACCGGCUUGCUGGAGAAGCUGUUCAAUGCCUUAGAACCUACCAAGGUUCAGAGCUGGAUAUUGAUCAUUUUGAUAUACAGACUGUGAAACUUGCAGGACUUAUGCAUGAUAUUGGUCAUGGGCCUUUCAGUCACCUGUUUGAGCAUGGGUUUCUUUCUCAAGUUCUUCCAGGAUCAAACUGGUCUCAUGAGCAGAUGUCAGUGCAGUUGGUGGACUAUAUUGUGGAUGAACAUCACAUAGACAUUGAUGCCAAUUGCCUUAAGACAGUUAAAGAGAUGAUAAUUGCCAGCUCUAAUAUUGCCAAGGAAAAGAGUGCAAAAGAGAAACUUUUUCUGUAUGACAUUGUUGCUAAUGGUCGUACUGGAAUAGAUGUUGAUAAGUUUGACUAUAUCGGUCGUGAUUGUCGAGCGUGUGGACUUGGAUGUAAUUUCCAGUUCAACAGAUUAUUAGAAGGCAUGCGUGUUAUGGACAAUGAAAUAUGCUACCCAGCCAAAGAAUAUCUUACCAUCCACAAAUUGUUUGCAACUCGUGCUGACCUUCAUCGUACCGUCUACACCCAUGCAAAAGUGAAGGCCGUUGAGCUCAUGCUUGUAGAUGCGCUUCUUAAGGCCAAUGAUUACCUACAAAUAUCCUCGUGUUCUUUGGACCCCGCUGAAUUUUGGAAGCUGGAUGAUACACUACUAAAAACCAUUGAAAUAGCUGAUAGCAAGAAGUUGCAAGAAUCAAGAGAUAUUAUCCGACGUAUUCGUCGAAGAGACUUAUACCAGUUCUGCAAUGAGUAUGCUGUUCCGAAGGAUAAAAUCGAGCAUUUUAAGGACAUCGCUCCGCAAGACAUAAUAUGCUGCCAGGCAGCCGGUGGAGUACAACUGAAGGAAGAGGAUGUCGCCGUUAGCAAUGUUAAGAUCGAUUUGACGCGUGGAAGAGAUAACCCUAUUGAGAGCAUCAAUUUCUUCAAGGAUUACGACAGCGACAAGAAGUUCUCCAUCUCAGAUGAUCGCAUCAGCUGCCUUCUUCCUACAUGUUACCAGGACAGAAUUGUGAGGGUGUAUGCCAAGAAGCCUGAAUUGGUUGAGGCCAUAUCAGAAGCUUUUGAGAAUCUACAGCUGAAAAUGUACGGCGUGAAAAAGCAGGUACACGAGACGCCAGAAAAGAAGAAACGCCGGAGGUAAGCUGUAUAGAGACUGCAUGUGUAUUCAUCUCUACGUAUACUCACCCUACAUAGCAAUAAUGGUUUUGGGAAGUGUUGUUGGUUUUUUGAGCAGGAGCAUCGUGCAACAGCUCGAAAUGGACGCCGUUAAUUCCAUCAUCUGCCAUUCUAGUUUGGCGUCUAUAGAUAAUCCAGAGAGCAUUGGCUGUACGGACUCACUCUCUCUCUCUCUCUCUCUCUCUCUCUCUCUCUCUGCGCGUAUAGAAUGCAUGCACAAGAACAACUUUCAAUGAAACUUCUAUAAUAAACCACUUUAUUA
Ananas comosus (pineapple) is the source of this 1740-nucleotide RNA transcript. It is a transcript of the gene named deoxynucleoside triphosphate triphosphohydrolase SAMHD1 homolog, with no coding region annotated. Lineage: Eukaryota; Viridiplantae; Streptophyta; Magnoliopsida; Poales; Bromeliaceae. The transcript has 21 exons. The record is from RefSeq and is a predicted model, not a curated record.